This 67-nucleotide transfer RNA is filed under the name Octolasmis warwickii. RNAcentral's name for it is "tRNA-Glu". Lineage: Eukaryota; Metazoa; Arthropoda; Thecostraca; Poecilasmatidae. RNAcentral also lists the same sequence under 1 other name. The record is from RNAcentral.
GUCUUUACGGUUUUAGAAAACAUUUCACUUUCACUGAAAAGGAGGGACGUUUUGUUCCCUUAAGAUA